GCGAGAAGACUCAGUAAGGCAUACUCGGAGCCAAGUGGAGGUUACCUGUAGGCGGAAAAAGUUGAGCGACUGUUAUUUUUACCCCUUGUUAGAUCGAUAUUUGGCUUUGUAACAGCAUCGAGAAGUACUAUUAUAUGCACGAUUUCUUUUUCAAGGAUGGAGUUAAAAAGAAACUGGAGAAAAUAAAGAAGAAUCAUCUUUAUAUUUAUGCAACAAGAAAGAAAAAUGAAGCUACUCAUCUCAAAGCAUACUGGAGUCAAAGGAAUAAAACUAUACCUAAACAAAACCAUGUCAAUGAAGAAUUGGAAAACCAGAGCCUAUCAAGAAUUCACUGCAGCCAUCAAGAACUGAUUGAAAACGAAAUAACUUCCGGAGUGCAUGAAGUAGUGUACUAUGAAGAAAGCUAUCCGGCAAAGUGAGUAACUGUUUACAUUUUAUUUAAAACAAAUCUAAGUUAUUAUUUUAGAGAAAGUAAGAUUGGCAACACAAACAGUUCUAUUAAUUUAACAAAUAUGUUUUGGCCAAAAUAUACAUAAGAUUUUUGGUCUGUUCAGUGUAAGGUCAUUUAUUGCACAAAAAUAAAGAAGUCGGUAUUAAAAAGGAUAAAUUUUAUGCAUUGCAGGAAAAAAUUUAAACUUGAUAGCUGCAGUUAUCAAGUUCCGGAAGGUAGAGACUCACGAUGACACCUUGGCAGCCAGGGAGUAAAAACGGCACAAGAAAUUUCUUCAAGAGAAAAUGACACAUCAGAUGAAGAGAAUAACUACUCUGUAACCAAUGUCCUGCACAAUGAAGAUGGGCAGUGUAUCUCUACAGCCAUGUCUUACACAGAAAUGCAACCGCCUCUGAAACUAUUUGAGAUGGAAGCAGGAUGUUCUUUCUGGUCAACCACCGAAGGAGCCAUUGACAUUCCAUAUGAGCUGGUGGACAGGAAUGAGCCAACUGUAGACAGUAGAUGUAUCAACAAUUCAGAGACAAGCAAUCAGGUUAGCUGAAUAACAAUUAUAUUGCUUUUAAUUAUAUUGACCUGUUAAAAAAUUACAGUUAAGUUAUAAUUUAACUUUACGAAUAUACUUCAAUUGAAAAAUUACACAACUACUCAAACUACAUAAAUGUUUUUAUCAGAAAUUUCACUAAAAACAGGGCAAAA
Molecule: long non-coding RNA, 1147 nt
Organism: Bacillus rossius redtenbacheri
Lineage: Eukaryota; Metazoa; Arthropoda; Insecta; Phasmatodea; Bacillidae
Exons: 3
Source: RefSeq, a predicted model, not a curated record